This is a long non-coding RNA of Bombyx mori (domestic silkworm), 355 nucleotides long. RefSeq lists it as uncharacterized. The record is from RefSeq and is a predicted model, not a curated record. The transcript is spliced from 2 exons. Lineage: Eukaryota; Metazoa; Arthropoda; Insecta; Lepidoptera; Bombycidae.
UUGCGAGACUUGAUGAAAAUAGCCGGAUCCAUAUUUGAACAUUUAGCGGUUUUCCUGCGCUAUCCCUUACUAAAUAAAUGAAGCCUUUGUUUUAUGCUUCCAAAGAAUUAAAUUUACAUUGAACUAUGAACUCACUAGAAGUGGCAGACAAUGUCGGAGUUUAAAGAAAAUUUCGGUUCGGAAUGGAGCAUUGUGAGCGUGACAAGCAGACGGCUGUCAAAGUUUAACGUGUGACAGACGACAGACAGAAAACGAGGGUGAAGAUGUUUAAGUUCUUGCAACGUUAUUAAUUUUAUUUUACUGUGCUAGUCUUAUAUAAAAGUCGAAAAUUAAAUCAUUUUUGAACUCCGGAAAA